CGCCACUGUGGUGGAUUCUCCCUAUCUACUAUCUAGCGAAACCACAGCCAAGGGAACGGGCUUGGAAUAAUUAGCGGGGAAAGAAGACCCUUUUGAGCUUGACUCUAAUCUGGCAGUGUAAGGAGACAUAAGAGGUGUAGAAUAAGUGGGAGAUAUUAGACCUCGGUUUGGUAUCGUCAAUGAAAUACCACUACUCUUAUUGUUUCCUUACUUACUUGAUUAAAUGGAACGUGUAUCAUUUCCUAGCCAUUAUACGGAUAUAUUUAUUAUAUCUUAUGGUAUUGGGUUUUGAUGCAAGCUUCUUGAUCAAAGUAUCACGAGUUUGUUAUAUAAUCGCAAACAAAUUCUUUAAUAAAACGAUGCAUUUAUGUAUUUUUGAUUUGAAAAUUUGGUAUAACUCCAAUUACUCAGGUAUGAUCCAAUUCAAGGACAUUGCCAGGUAGGGAGUUUGACUGGGGCGGUACAUCUCUCAAAUAAUAACGGAGGUGUCCCAAGGCCAGCUCAGUGCGGACAGAAACCACACAUAGAGCAAAAGGGCAAAUGCUGACUUGAUCUCGGUGUUCAGUACACACAGGGACAGCAAAAGCUCGGCCUAUCGAUCCUUUUGGUUUAAAGAGUUUUUAACAAGAGGUGUCAGAAAAGUUACCAUAGGGAUAACUGGCUUGUGGCGGCCAAGCGUUCAUAGCGACGUCGCUUUUUGAUCCUUCGAUGUCGGCUCUUCCUAUCAUUGUGAAGCAAAAUUCACCAAGCGUUGGAUUGUUCACCCAUGCAAGGGAACGUGAGCUGGGUUUAGACCCGUCGUGAGACAGGUUAGUUUUACCCUACUAAUGACAAAACGUUGUUGCGACAGCAUUUCCUGCGUAAUACGAGAGGAAACGCAGGUACGGACCAUUGGCACAAUACUUGUUC
RNAcentral lists this non-coding RNA (909 nucleotides) under Drosophila simulans. Its description in RNAcentral is "Eukaryotic large subunit ribosomal RNA". It matches the Rfam family "Eukaryotic large subunit ribosomal RNA", at positions 2322 to 3078 of the family's 3401-position model. The record is from Rfam by way of RNAcentral. Lineage: Eukaryota; Metazoa; Arthropoda; Insecta; Diptera; Drosophilidae.